Molecule: ribosomal RNA, 292 nt
Filed under: uncultured bacterium
Lineage: Bacteria
Description: partial 16S ribosomal RNA
Source: RNAcentral
GGACUACUAGGGUAUCUAAUCCUGUUCGCUCCCCACGCUUUCGCUCCUCAGCGUCAGUAUCGGCCCAGAGACCCGCCUUCGCCACCGGUGUUCCUCCUGAUAUCUGCGCAUUUCACCGCUACACCAGGAAUUCCAGUCUCCCCUACCGAACUCAAGCCUGCCCGUAUCAGCUGCAAGCCCACAGUUGAGCUGCGGGUUUUCACAGCUGACGCAACAAGCCGCCUACGAGCUCUUUACGCCCAAUAAAUCCGGACAACGCUCGCGCCCUACGUCUUACCGCGGCUGCUGGCAC